This 68-nucleotide transfer RNA is filed under the name Delia antiqua (onion fly). RNAcentral's name for it is "tRNA-Asp". It matches the Rfam family "tRNA". From Rfam's summary of the family: Transfer RNA (tRNA) molecules are approximately 80 nucleotides in length. Their secondary structure includes four short double-helical elements and three loops (D, anti-codon, and T loops). Further hydrogen bonds mediate the characteristic L-shaped molecular structure. tRNAs have two regions of fundamental functional importance: the anti-codon, which is responsible for specific mRNA codon recognition, and the 3' end, to which the tRNAs corresponding amino acid is attached (by aminoacyl-tRNA synthetases). tRNAs cope with the degeneracy of the genetic code in two manners: having more than one tRNA (with a specific anti-codon) for a particular amino acid; and 'wobble' base-pairing, i.e. permitting non-standard base-pairing at the 3rd anti-codon position. The record is from RNAcentral. Lineage: Eukaryota; Metazoa; Arthropoda; Insecta; Diptera; Anthomyiidae.
AAAAAAUUAGUUAAAUUUUAUAACAUUAGUUUGUCAAACUAAAAUUAUCAAUUCAUUGAUAUUUUUUA